Non-coding RNA from Microcebus murinus (gray mouse lemur), 601 nucleotides. NCBI's taxonomy places the organism in Eukaryota, Metazoa, Chordata, Mammalia, Primates, Cheirogaleidae. The record is from RefSeq and is a predicted model, not a curated record.
GUGGCAGCGGCCGAGACUCAUCUUGCAGGACAAGUGGAAUCUUAGGGAACGGGGGUCUGAGGGGUGCGGUUCAUAAGUGAGCAGGCGGGAAACUCCCCAGGGAGAUCCCCAAGGAAAGUGAAUGAAGUUGAGAAUAUCUUCGCUUACGCAUCAUUCUGUCCCCCCUGGGAAAGGACUGCCGCUGGAUGUCCUUUACCAGCCCCGGUCCCAGCUGCCAGUGGCCCACCUCCUCCGCCCUGGGCCUGCCUCUUGCGGACUCUGGAAACCGCGCUACCAGGCUUAUCUUGCCUCUUCACUCGCGGAGUUGCUCUCUGCCAGAAAUGUGAGGGUUGCAAAGCUUAGAAUGAAGUACCUUGCUUUUUUGUUUUUAACUGUAGUAUCAUUUUUAGUGGCAUUAAGAGCUUUUACAUUAUUGUGCAGCCAUUGCCACCAUCCACCUCCAGUACUUUUUUCUUCUUGCAAAACUGAAACUCUCCCCAUCAGGAACUCUCCAUUCCCCUAUCCCAUCGGUCCAUGGCAACCACUAUUCUACUUUCUAUUAAUUGGACUACUGUUAAAGUAUUUCAUAUGACUGGAACUAUACAGUAGUUCUCUUUUAUAA